Molecule: long non-coding RNA, 201 nt
Filed under: Dunaliella salina
Lineage: Eukaryota; Viridiplantae; Chlorophyta; Chlorophyceae; Chlamydomonadales; Dunaliellaceae
Description: long non-coding RNA (DSAL_LNC000223)
Source: RNAcentral
GGAAGGAAGGAAGGAAGAAAGGAAGGAAGGAAGGAAGGAAGGAAGGAAGGAAGGAAGGAAGGAAGGAAGGAAGGAAGGAAGGAAGGAAGGAAGGAAGAAAGAAAGAAAGAAAGAAAGAAAGAAAGAAAGAAAGAAAGAAAGAAAGAAAGGAAGGAAGGAAGGAAGGAAGGAAGGAAGGAAGGAAGGAAGGAAGAGAGAAAG